AAGCAGUAGGAACACUCCAUGAAAGCAGCUUUGGAGAAGGCAGCUCUGUGUGAAAGCAGCUCUGUGUGAAAGCAAGCAUAGAAGAGUUGAGACACAAAAUGAUUAGAAUCAGGAGGCUGGUACACCGAAGGUGUUCAGAACCAAAAAGAUACGGAUACUGUUGUAAAUGAAAUGAAACAAACAUUGUCUAUAUCAAACAAACAGUUGCAAAGAUCCUUCAGAGGUUGGAGGGAAUCGGUGAAAUCGGGCAGUCAUCACCUUGCAACAAUAUGGUAGUGAAAGUCGGCCAUCAAGUCACUGGAUUGGUUUCAAGGAUGACGAUGUUGCAGUCAAAGCAGUGAUGGAAAGUCAGAAUGAAGCAACAGUUGCAAAAUUUGGCUGCAUGGAUGUGGCAGACAAAAGUUGGCAGAGGAUCUUAUCAGAAAACAGUGACAUUUACUGGUAGCAAAAUUGGAUGCAGAUGAUGUUGCCGAUCAUUUAUACCAAUGAGAGAUAAUAUCAUCUGGUGAGAUGGGAAAUAUUAAUAACACUGAUGAUCUUGGGAAAAACAGGACAACUUUACUGAAAUUGAUUAGGAAACGUCAGUGGGUUGAAGGAGUAUAAUUUGCAAAUAUAUUUUCAGUUAGUGAAGUCAAUUGUGAAGUCGGGUGGGUGGGUUAAAUUGCUUGUUUGUCCAUGAAUUUAAUUUAUAGCAUGUCUGUCUAGUGGCUUCUUUAUCUUUCUUCACAGCCUCUCAUGUGCACAAGACGAGCGGAGAGUGAUGAUAUUGUAUCUCUUUGCUCUUUGUGUGCAAAGUGGAGGGCUGUGAAAAAAGUGGGGCUUGCAUAUUGUUAGUUGAGCGUUUGCAUUUGUAGGUUAGGAAAUGGUUGGAAGUCCAGAAUCUGUUGAUGACUCGUUACUACUGUCUGACCUGCACAGUGUGGUUCAGUCAACUGUCGGCAGUAACAACAAUUCAAACCGAUAGUGGACAUGAUUAGGGAGAUACUUGAUUGUUUGAUCGACAAGCAUGAGUCUUAGCCUGGUUAUUGAUAUCAAUUAGUGUAGAAAAUGUUAGGUUGACAAUGUAUUUGUUGUUACAGAAUAGUAAAUUUUAUAGAUUAGUGCAAACACUGUGGCUUGUUUGCAGUCACUGGUAACUGAUUUUUAUUGUUUUUAUAGACAAGUCGAUCUCAUUUAUUUGUAUGUUUUAGAAUUUGUCGUGCAGAUUGGUUAUUAUGUGUGCAUGAGUUAGUCAUCAGAGUCAUGUCUUCUUAUGAUGAAAGAUAAGCAGACGAUAUUCACAUGGAGAGCAACUGCAUGUGGCAGUGCAGUAACAGCUACAGUAAAUAAAUGGACAGACAAACAUACAUACAGACGAGUAGACAGACAGACAGAUGGGUUGACAAACAAACAGACAGACAGACAGACAGA
Molecule: long non-coding RNA, 1410 nt
Organism: Corticium candelabrum
Lineage: Eukaryota; Metazoa; Porifera; Homoscleromorpha; Homosclerophorida; Plakinidae
Exons: 5
Source: RefSeq, a predicted model, not a curated record